This 277-nucleotide small RNA is filed under the name Pelobates cultripes (western spadefoot toad). Lineage: Eukaryota; Metazoa; Chordata; Amphibia; Anura; Pelobatidae. The record is from RNAcentral.
GGGGUGACUAGUGACAGAGUUAGGGAGGGAAGGGGUGACUAGUUACAGAGUGAGGAAGGGGGUGACUAGUGACAGAGGGAGGGGUGACUAGGGACAGAGUGAGGGAGGUGGUGACUAGUGACAGUCACCACCUCCCUCUCUGUCACCAGUCAUCCCCUCACUCUGUCACUAGUCACCCCUUCCUUCCCUCACUCUGCCACUAGUUACCCCUUCCCUCACUCUGUCACCGCCUCACUCUGUCACUAGUCACCCCCUCACUCUGUCACUAGUCACCCCC